CAGUAAUAAGUUUUACAUGCUGUUAUUAACAGAAGACAUUUCUCUUUUUCAAUUUCUUAUUAGCACAUCCGAAAACUUUUCCAUUAGCGAAAGAAUUAUUUGACCUGUAGAAAUUAAUAUGAAGAUCUUGACACGGCGUUGCAAAAGGUUUUGAGCAAUCCUUCAAAUUACUUCCUGGUCAGUGAAGUAUUAUAGAAAAGAGAUUGAACACUUCGUCAGCGACAAUUAAACAGUAAUGAUGUAUAUAUUUGGUAUGCUUAAUGUUCCUCAGGUGAUCAAAGAGCUGACGGAUUUUCGCUGAAAUCAAUUAAGCCUCAUAACUUCAUUAUACCCGGGUACGCAGGCCCGUAUAGAAAGUCAGCUAAUUAAUUCUCACGCACUGUCGCCGUUUAUAAUUACACAACGUUAAAGAGAGUACAUCAUUAACUGUAUAUGUUUCAAGGGUUGCGGUAAUCGAAUGGUUGCGUCAUUGAGAUGUACACAUCCGUAAUGAUUUGUAGGUAUUAAAAAUUGCGUACAGUUCCAUUAGGUCUGUAACAAACUAUUUAUUCAACUAUUUCAAAUUUUAGAACCAGCUUUAACAUCUUUAUUUGCGUGCAGGUUCUACGAGGCCUUCGACAUCAAAGGGUUGAAGGAUUGAAAAUAAGGAGAAAACGUUGUUUUACACAAGAAGAAAGGGGGCAGUAAAGAUCAAGGUUCGUUGAAUUAGAUUCCAUCUGAUUUCGAAGUGCGUGACAUUAACACCUCGCUUCUGGAUCGAGCGCGAUGCUCUCCUCAAUGGAUGCCAGCAUUCUUCUGUUCCAUCUCCACGGCCGUCCUCUGCCCCGUUGUCCUUCCCUCUCUUCGGCGCACAUUGUGUUCGAGACAUUCGUGACAUUUCAUCCUCCUCGAUCUUAAAGUGCUAUGCUAAGAGAUCGUUCUUAAGCGGGUUACGUGAUCCGUAAUCGACCGCCUUGGUUCUACCAUCUUGAGCUUGAAACAUUUCUGGAGUUUUCCUUUUUCCUUCUUUUGAACGAGGUCUGGGGACACUCUUGUUCCACUUAUUCGCCUCUGAAGUUUCAAGCUCUCAGAUCACGUCAUGCAGUCACAAAAUCUCCAGGUUUCAAAGUUAAAAAAUUUUGAAAUCUCAAAGUGUCAAAUCAUAACCUUCAAUUUUUAUAUAUAACCUCUUAUGAACCUUCGUUUGUAACCUCUGAUCUGUGCAACGCCAUGUAUCUUAUAAUAUACGGUGUAUUUUUCUCUAAUCGCUAAUUUAAUUCAAUGAUUGCAGGAUGAAGAAUAAAAAAGAAGAAAAUUGGUGGCCAUCAUUGAUCCUCCGUUCCCCGUGAAAUUUGAUAUUUAAUAAAUCUGACCGCGUCAACGCUUGCAGAGAACGUCGAAUAUCCCCGUAUUCAGUUUCACCUCUGUUUCCCAUAAAUUGUCGUGCGUCCACGUGCCGAUAAAUUCACCAGGAUAAAUUCAUGGGGGCUGACCGAAGCGCGUGUUAGCGCGGCCGUAAAGCAAUUCAAGCGACGAGGAUGAUGCACCGGUGCGUGACGCGUGUAACGACGAUUUUACAAACUUGGAAAUGUCGGUGAGAUUUUGCGUGAUAAUACGAGGAGAAACUGAAGAAAUUGUUAACAAUUGCUUGAGUAAACAGUUAAUUACCAUCUUGAUACAUUGAAAAGAGAAUAAUGACAAGUAACAGAAUUAACUGAGAACUACAGUCAGAAGGAAAAAAGGGACUUUUUAUUGAGGGUAUUAAAGAUUCCAGAUGAAGAAGAAUGCAAAUUGUCCGAGAAGAAAUGCAAUAAAGAGGGAAAGGAGAGAAACCCUUGAAUAUAAAAUGCAAAGUAGAAGAAAAGUUAUCCUGGUUAUACCAGAGACAGAAGCGGAAUGAAAUGAAAGAAAACGAAAAUUAAUUGAUGAAAAAGAAAGUUAUCCUUUGAAAUGUUAAAAUUAUAAGAAACCCAGAAACACAUAAAACAAAAAGGAAAAGGAAGUCCAUUUGAACGAUUGCGUAACUUGAAUUACCAUAUUAUAUUUUAUCGUCAUUAAAUUACACGAAUUCGUUUGAAUACGAAUUCCAUUUUCAUUGUUCCCAAUUCCAAAAGUCUCAUUAACUCAGUGGCACAGACCACCGGAGGACGUUCGUAAAACAAACUUUUACGUCAUUUCCUUGAACGUUCCGUUAAAUUAAAUGGUCGUAUAAAUUCGAAUCCGGUUUACGCAAUCGUUGUUUUGAAAAAUGCAAGAAAAAAAGAACGAGAAAGAGAAGAAGAAAAGGGAACCGACUUUAUUACCAAGGGAGAUCGGACGUUUUGAUCAUUCACGGAUUCCUCAAAGGAAAUUACACACGGCGAGGCACAAUAAAACAAGCAUAAAAACACCUUCAUCCUUAUUUUUAUGCUUUCGUUUAAUUUUCUUCUUUUUAUAUUAUUUUACAUAAGACGUAGAAAGUUCCCGGUCCUGUCUGGUUAUAAAAGAAUAAUUACGAGCAAAACAGGUACCAGGCAGCUUUUAUCAGGAAAAUAUCCUUCUUUCGAUGGUCGUGGAAAAGAGAGACAAAAAAGGAUACAGCUUUAGAAUCGAUUUCAUACGACGUGCAUUUAAGUCGUUUAAUUAUCCCCCGAGCAUGACUGAUUGACGAUAACCCGGUGAACUAUAAUAGCAUUCCGCUGUUCGUCUCCUUUAUGAGAACAAACAAAAGAGGCCAGUUGCUAAGUUGCACCGUGAUGUGUUUAAAGUUUAAGGCGAAGUAAAAGUUCACCGUGGCGUCCUUUGUGUUAACAAACGAGAUCGGUAUGCGAAGAAAAAUUCGACAGUAACGAUGUUCCUAUCUGCAAUGAUGACCUCAGAAUAUAUACUAUUGAUGGCACACUUCUCAACAUUUCAGUUCUUACAGUAUACAAAUUAUGUGUCUACACAGUAACAGCGAAUGUGGUGAUACGCACACAAAAAUAUGCAAGGACAUUCACCACCUAUAAGAUAAUAAAAUCAUGUAGAGUAUCAAAAUAUAAAGAAUGAAUAUCAAGUAACAAUACUUCUAUAAAUUUUGUUGAAUGCUCUUCCAAUUACUGCAAUAAAAGUUGCUACAUAAUUGAUGUUAUACCUUCAGCGAAGAGGUCUCAACAAACUCAGAUCAGUAGAAGAGAUAUUCUUCAACUACUCUUCAAGAAGAGUUUACCUUGCAAAGGAUCCCUAAUGGUCCUACGCCUCCAGUCACGUUAGUCCUUGCUUGUCCCACUCGUUUCAGGAUUUAGAUCAGGCUCACUUACAUAAGAGAGAUCACGCAAGCGAUCAGCCACGGUCUCGGGUGGCGAGACUUUAAGGUUGAGGCGACCGAAAUGUCAUGAGCGUUUCGAAUGAUGUGAGAAGAGAAUAAGAUGUGCAUUUACGGCGAUGAAGAUAGGUUGAGAAAAAAGAAGGAUGAUAAUAGGACAUGUUUUACAAGCCUCCACACAGCUGAGCAAGCGUGAUGAACUCGUUUUAUGGAUUUGGCAGAAGUCUCUCUUCUUUAAGUGAUGAAACCUGAAGCAGAUCGAAUCUGGAGAUUACUGUUGUUUCUUGUUCUAAUUGACGUUCGAAUGCUAUUUAUGCUAUGAAAACUUGAAUGGACCUCUUGUGAUGUAGAACUGUGAUACGCUGCUGAAUCUAUCAAUUAGAUUUUGCAGACAUUAGAGCUUUCAAUUUCUUGUUAUUAGGUUAGAAAUCUUAGUAGUUAAAAACUUUAAAUUAAAUUUUAUAAUUUGGAACUGGUAGUCUCGGAACUUUGAAAUUUGUAGGUUAAGUACUCUAAAGUUUAAAAGUCAAGGACAUACAAGGUUCUAGACAGCUUACAUUUAAGUCAUGAAACUUAAGCGUCCAGAACUCUCAUAAUAGUGGUUGAGAUUAGAAUGUAUCUAUGUACUUCUUCACAGUUCAUAAAAGCUCGUUAUGUAUCAUUAAACGGUAUCUCCACCGUUCAUGGGAUAAAGGAUACUGUAAAGUGUACUAUGGUUCCAUAAUGAUGCGUGACGCUUCUAAGCGAGCCUCCCGUCCUCGUUUCAACAUGGUGCUCCAUGGAAAUCACCAGUUUCCUUUUUCGUACAUGAUAAUCAGUCGAGCAUUUUGACAUUGACAUUUAUCGAUCAGCAUUGCAAUUGCUAAUUUCUCGGUUUAAAUAAUAUAGCUGCUCACUAGCUUGCGUUCACUUAAGCAACGAAUAAUCUCGUAAAUCUUGUGGAUCUCACAUUUCAUUUUCAAUAAUCAUACCUUCAUAACCUAACAGGUGAAUAAUUGUAACCAGGAUGAGGUGAAUACCACAAGAAAAAUACAAUUCAAUUUGAUGAAACUGCUCCCCAAAGGUGUUCUGAACA
Molecule: long non-coding RNA, 4337 nt
Organism: Megachile rotundata (alfalfa leafcutting bee)
Lineage: Eukaryota; Metazoa; Arthropoda; Insecta; Hymenoptera; Megachilidae
Source: RefSeq, a predicted model, not a curated record